CAACCUUUAUUUGAUUCUUUUGUUAUUUUCAUUUAAUUAUAUAAGAAUUAUUUCAAAAGACAAUAUUAAAUUAGCUUUCUUAUAGAUAGUGUACAGUUUUAACAGUUGUGAGGUAUAUAUCACGGAUACCUUAAUAGUAAUAGUAAAGCAUUUUAACUUUUAGUAAUACGCCUUUUAAAAAAUAAAAUGAAUUCCAGGUAGUAUCUAUGGUAUGAUUGUCACACAUUCAUGUUGCUAUUCUUUCUUGAGUGGGAAAGCAGUGACAGGAAUAAUCCCCUUCCCACACACCCUGCCCCCCCAACUUCCGCCAAAUGCACUUUGCUCCAUUACCUUCUUCACUUUGCUCCAGGAAACUUAGAAUGUAAAGUGAAUAAUUGAACUUCAAAAUGGUAUUGACCCUUGGAAAAGGAAUACAAAUUGUCUCGACUGGAGAUUAGCUAAAUUUUUUCAUCUUGAUGAAUUUUACAAAAUUUAAAGCUCUGUUCAAGGCUUUGAAAGUCACACCCUGAAUAUAGAGUGAAAAUCUAU
RNAcentral lists this long non-coding RNA (528 nucleotides) under Bos taurus (domestic cattle). RNAcentral's name for it is "long non-coding RNA NONBTAT006132". The record is from RNAcentral. Lineage: Eukaryota; Metazoa; Chordata; Mammalia; Artiodactyla; Bovidae.